UAUGUAUAAACUUCUUCUUUGUUGGUUGAAAAUUCAAGCAAAAUUAUGCUAGCUUUAUAUAUAUAUAUAUAUAGUAGUUAUCAAAUGUUUAAGAGGAAUCAUGCUAUAAGCAUACAAGUAACCAUGUUAUUAGUUACUAUAAGAAUAUCAUGUUAACACUGGGCAACUUAAAGUUAUGGGCAGAGUAAAAAUUGCAUAUACCGAAAACAUGGAAGCUUAGUAACAUCUAACUAAUGAUUUUGGUCCACUAGAUUUGUGUGUUUGAUUCAAAGGUUAGCAUCGAAAAGAUUGACUACAAACUUUUGGAAAAGCAUACCAGGAUCAUUUUGCCCAUUACUAUUGCCCGAUUCCUGCAGUCAGAGGGAGAUUAUAUGAGUGGAGCAAUCUUAUCUAGCUGCAUAUAUGUGAAUUUGAACACACAUCUAACAGAUUUGCACAUCCAAAAUAAUAAUCUCUGUACUUUUUGGCACUAAAGUGACAAAAGUGAACAAGAAAACAAUUAGAACAACUAAUACUAAUCGAACUAGGGAAAACCUACAUUGCCCAUGUUAUAUCACCAAGAAGUUGAAAGCCAGGCGGUGCUGAUCAAAAUGAAGCCCCUGCAUCCACCAAAAGUAAUACAGUCAGUACAAGUAUCAGAAGAAUAAUAAAUCAAGAGUAUGACAAUGAUUGAGUCAUAAGCACGGAAUUUGAUUAAGAAAACAUCUCCUGGAAAUGGGAUGGUUAUCCUGGGAUUUUAAAGCUGAGAAAUGAACUCAUCAGAAGCUGGAUUUGGGGCGAAUCAGUCAAAUAUAAUUAUCGUAUGACUGUGUAUAAACAACACAUCAUCUAUUAAGCAACUGUAUAACUAAUUGCCGAUAAGUUUUAAAAGUUUCAUAAGGUAUGAGGCAGAUUAUGAGUUGUUCAUCGUACCAAAGCAGUUUGCCUAAAACCAAAAGUGGAAAACUCAAAACAAUAUGCAUGACAAGGGAGAGCCUAUCAUGCCACUACUCCGCAAUUUGCUGACAUGUAAAUCUAGAAUAGCAUAUAAUGCAGUAAUACAUGGCAAAUUAUAGUGCUGUAAACAGAUUGUGGACAAUCAAAAACCAUAAAUGUGAGAGAACGCACGGCGAAUCUGCAGCCUCUUGAACAAACCGAUGAAAGGAGUUGAUCUUCACCGCCUAUAUAUAGAUGGAGAAAAGAUAAAAGUAGAGGAAUUGGAAUCCUGGAACAAUUUCCAGCCAUGAAUGAAUAAAAAAAGGAAUCGCAAGAGUGGGAAUUCGGGGUGAAUAUGAGAAGGAACAAACUUGAUCAACUCAGAAUUGAACGUCUCCGAGCAAAGUGGAGCAGAGAAUCGGAGCUUUCAAAAAGGGGUUGGGCUUUUUUGAGAUUCGAUUCGACGUUGAUUUUCGGUAAAGAUGUUCAGAUUCGUGUGUUUUCAACGGUAAAUGGAAUGCGCGGGUGCACCGAGUGGUAUAGUCCGGCACGCACACGAUAUUCUCGAUCGUGUCAAGGGGAAUUGAAUGCCGUGAGCGGAACUAGCUGGCAGCCUAACUGCUUUCAAGUUUCAACCACCUUAAAUUCUGUGUGUACUUACAUUUGGCCUUUACUUACUAUCUCAGCUUAUUCUGCUUCUUUAUUUGCAUACCAACUAUUGCAUU
This 1640-nucleotide long non-coding RNA is filed under the name Salvia miltiorrhiza (redroot sage). Its description in RNAcentral is "long non-coding RNA (SMIL_LNC006655)". Lineage: Eukaryota; Viridiplantae; Streptophyta; Magnoliopsida; Lamiales; Lamiaceae. The record is from RNAcentral.